This 47-nucleotide transfer RNA is filed under the name Erosa erosa (pitted stonefish). Its description in RNAcentral is "partial tRNA-Val". The record is from RNAcentral. Lineage: Eukaryota; Metazoa; Chordata; Actinopteri; Perciformes; Synanceiidae.
GCAUCUCCCUUACACUGAGAAGUUACCCGUGCAAAUCGGGUUACCCU